CUACGGGUGGCAGCAGUCGAGAAUCUUCGGCAAUGGACGAAAGUCUGACCGAGCGACGCCGCGUGCGGGAUGAAGGCCUUCGGGUUGUAAACCGCUGUCAGAGGGAAGGAAAUUUUGACCGAUCCUCAAAGGAAGUACGGGCUAAGUUCGUGCCAGCAGCCGCGGUAAGACGAACCGUACAAACGUUAUUCGGAAUCACUGGGCUUAAAGGGUGCGUAGGUGGUCUAUUAAGUUGGGUGUGAAAUCCCUCGGCUCAACCGAGGAACUGCGCUCAAUACUGGUAGACUUGAGGGAGAUAGAGGUGAGCGGAACUGAUGGUGGAGCGGUGAAAUGCGUUGAUAUCAUCGGGAACACCUGUGGCGAAAGCGGCUCACUGGAUCUCUUCUGACACUGAGGCACGAAAGCUAGGGGAGCGAACGGGAUUAGAUACCCUCGUAGUC
RNAcentral lists this ribosomal RNA (440 nucleotides) under uncultured bacterium. Its description in RNAcentral is "partial 16S ribosomal RNA". It matches the Rfam family "Bacterial small subunit ribosomal RNA", at positions 339 to 795 of the family's 1533-position model. The record is from RNAcentral.